Taeniopygia guttata (zebra finch) is the source of this 657-nucleotide non-coding RNA. The record is from RefSeq and is a predicted model, not a curated record. Lineage: Eukaryota; Metazoa; Chordata; Aves; Passeriformes; Estrildidae.
AUGCGGUCCCCCACUUGCACUGCCCUGUCUGGCCCACCUCUCUGUCCUAAGGUUGCUGAAAGCAUAUCUGAUGAGCUGUGUCUGCUUUCAAUCUGAGCUCAGGCUUGGUGGGCAGUUGUGUGCCUCCUGUGAAAGCAGUUCCCAAAACCCAGCCCUGCCAAGAGCAGUAGAGUGGCACAGCAGGGUAAAGCCCUGGAGGCGAAAGUGCUGGGCACUGAGUGUCCUCUGCCCUGUCCCACAGGAGGCCGGUGGCCCAUGGCAGGUUCCCCCGUGUGCCACAGAGCUCUGGGGACCAUCAGAGCAGCAGCUCCACAACGCAGAACAUCAGGGCUUCCCUACAGAGAAGCGGUCAGCAACAGGCCUUGACAGUCCAGAAAAAGCCCAGUGUGACCCAGCUGCUGGACAGUGAUGGACACAUCUCAAGGGGCCGUAAAGUCCAGCAUCCUACGGCGAUCAGGACACAGGAUACAUCAGGCCCUGCCGCCUCACGAGGGCCCCGGCCAAGCACAGCCCCCCGACACAUCUCGAGUGCACCAGGGCUCGUCCAGCCUCUCCAGCCCCUCCGGACAUCCACAGCCCCCAGCCAGCUGGAAAGGACUCCGCGCCCAGUGCUCGACCUGGGACAUCUCCUCAGAAGCGAGAAACGCCUGUGACUCU